CCUACGGGAGGCAGCAGUGAGGAAUAUUGGUCAAUGGACGAGAGUCUGAACCAGCCAAGUAGCGUGAAGGAUGACUGCCCUAUGGGUUGUAAACUUCUUUUAUAUGGGAAUAAAAUGUUCCACGUGUGGGAUUUUGUAUGUACCAUAUGAAUAAGGCUCGGCUAACUACGUGCCAGCAGCCGCGGUAAUACGGAGGAUCCGAGCGUUAUCCGGAUUUAUUGGGUUUAAAGGGAGCGUAGGUGGAUUGUUAAGUCAGUUGUGAAAGUUUGCGGCUCAACCGUAAAAUUGCAGUUGAAACUGGCAGUCUUGAGUACAGUAGAGGUGGGCGGAAUUCGUGGUGUAGCGGUGAAAUGCUUAGAUAUCACGAAGAACUCCGAUUGCGAAGGCAGUUCACUGGACUGCAACUGACACUGAGGCUCGAAAGUGUGGGUAUCAAACAGGAUUAGAUACCCGAGUAGUC
RNAcentral lists this ribosomal RNA (460 nucleotides) under uncultured bacterium. Its description in RNAcentral is "partial 16S ribosomal RNA". It matches the Rfam family "Bacterial small subunit ribosomal RNA", at positions 338 to 795 of the family's 1533-position model. The record is from RNAcentral.